This 539-nucleotide ribosomal RNA is filed under the name Penicillium spinulosum. Its description in RNAcentral is "eukaryotic LSU rRNA". The stretch from base 170 to 323 matches the Rfam family "5.8S ribosomal RNA". Lineage: Eukaryota; Fungi; Ascomycota; Eurotiomycetes; Eurotiales; Aspergillaceae. The record is from RNAcentral.
GGACGAUGAGCCUCUGGGUCACCUCCCACCCGUGUUUAUUGUACCUUGUUGCUUCGGUGCGCCCGCCUCACGGCCGCCGGGGGGCUUCUGCCCCCGGGUCCGCGCGCACCGGAGACACCAUUGAACUCUGUCUGAAGAUUGCAGUCUGAGCAUAAACUAAAUAAGUUAAAACUUUCAACAACGGAUCUCUUGGUUCCGGCAUCGAUGAAGAACGCAGCGAAAUGCGAUAACUAAUGUGAAUUGCAGAAUUCAGUGAAUCAUCGAGUCUUUGAACGCACAUUGCGCCCCCUGGUAUUCCGGGGGGCAUGCCUGUCCGAGCGUCAUUGCUGCCCUCAAGCACGGCUUGUGUGUUGGGCUCCGUCCCCCCGGGGACGGGUCCGAAAGGCAGCGGCGGCACCGAGUCCGGUCCUCGAGCGUAUGGGGCUUUGUCACCCGCUCUGUAGGCCCGGCCGGCGCCAGCCGACAACCAAUCAUCCUUUUCAGGUUGACCUCGGAUCAGGUAGGGAUACCCGCUGAACUUAAGCAUAUCAUAAGCCGGA